RNAcentral lists this ribosomal RNA (495 nucleotides) under uncultured bacterium. Its description in RNAcentral is "partial 16S ribosomal RNA". It matches the Rfam family "Bacterial small subunit ribosomal RNA", at positions 28 to 507 of the family's 1533-position model. The record is from RNAcentral.
GACGAACGCUGGCGGCGUGCCUAAUACAUGCAAGUAGAACGCUGAAGGAGGAGCUUGCUUCUCUGGAUGAGUUGCGAACGGGUGAGUAACGCGUAGGUAACCUGCCUGGUAGCGGGGGAGAACUAUUGGAAACGAUAGCUAAUACCGCAUAAUAGCAGCUGUCGCAUGACAUUUGCUUAAAAGGUGCAAUUGCAUCACUACUAGAUGGACCUGCGUUGUAUUAGCUAGUUGGUGAGGUAACGGCUCACCAAGGCAACGAUACAUAGCCGACCUGAGAGGGUGGUCGGCCACACUUGGACUGAGACACGGCCCAGACUCCUACGGGGGGGAGCAGUAGGGAAUCUUCAGCAAUGGACGGAAGUCUGACCGAGCAACGCCGCGUGAGUGGAGAAGGUUUUCGGAUCGUAAAGCUCUGUUGUAAGAGAAGAAAGAGAGUGAGAGUGGAAAGUUCACACUGUGACGGUAUCUUACCAGAAAGGGACGGCUAACUACGUG